GACGAACGCUGGCGGCGUGCUUAACACAUGCAAGUCGAACGGAAAGGCCCUGCUUGCCGGGUACUCGAGUGGCGAACGGGUGAGUAACACGUGGGUGAUCUGCCCUGCACUUCGGGAUAAGCUUGGGAAACUGGGUCUAAUACCGGAUAGGAGCCAUCUUUAGUGUGGUGGUUGGAAAGUUUUUUCGGUGUAGGAUGAGCUCGCGGCCUAUCAGCUUGUUGGUGGGGUAAUGGCCUACCAAGGCGGCGACGGGUAGCCGGCCUGAGAGGGUGUACGGCCACAUUGGGACUGAGAUACGGGCCAGACUCCUACGGGAGGCAGCAGUGGGGAAUAUUGCACAAUGGGCGCAAGCCUGAGGCAGCGACGCCGCGUGGGGGAUGAAGGCCUUCGGGUUGUAAACUCCUUUCGCUAGGGACGAAGCUUUGUUGUGACGGUACCUAGAUAAGAAGCACCGGCUAACUACGUG
RNAcentral lists this ribosomal RNA (466 nucleotides) under uncultured bacterium. Its description in RNAcentral is "partial 16S ribosomal RNA". It matches the Rfam family "Bacterial small subunit ribosomal RNA", at positions 28 to 507 of the family's 1533-position model. The record is from RNAcentral.